GCGUUGUUGGUGUAGUGGUUAGCAUUGAAGCCUUCCAUCGGUGCACAUGCACCCCUCGGAAUAGCUUUAGUCCGGGGUUCGAAUCCCCGACAACGCA
This 97-nucleotide transfer RNA is filed under the name Puccinia triticina. RNAcentral's name for it is "tRNA-Gly". It matches the Rfam family "tRNA". Rfam says of the family: Transfer RNA (tRNA) molecules are approximately 80 nucleotides in length. Their secondary structure includes four short double-helical elements and three loops (D, anti-codon, and T loops). The record is from RNAcentral. Lineage: Eukaryota; Fungi; Basidiomycota; Pucciniomycetes; Pucciniales; Pucciniaceae. RNAcentral also lists the same sequence under 1 other name.